Molecule: ribosomal RNA, 406 nt
Filed under: uncultured bacterium
Lineage: Bacteria
Description: partial 16S ribosomal RNA
Rfam family: Bacterial small subunit ribosomal RNA
Source: RNAcentral
AUUGAACGCUGGCGGCAGGCCUAACAAAUGCAAGUCGAACGAGUGGCGGACGGGUGAGUAAUGUCUGGGAAACUGCCUGAUGGAGGGGGAUAACUACUGGAAACGGUAGCUAAUACCGCAUACAAUCAGAUGUGCCCAGAUGGGAUUAGCUAGUUGGUGGGGUAACGGCUAACAACGGCGACGAUGCCUAGCUGGUAUGAGAGGAUGACCAGCCACACUGGAACUGGGACACGGUACAGACUCCUACGGGAGGCAGCAGGUGGGAAUAUUGCACAAUGGGCGAAAGCCUGAUGCAGCCAUGCCCCGUGUAUGAAGAAGGCCUUCGGGUUGUAAAGUACUUUCAGCGGGGAGGCGUUAACCGCAGAAGAAGCACCGGCUAACUCCGUGCCAGCAGCCGCGGUAAUUC